RNAcentral lists this ribosomal RNA (395 nucleotides) under Flabelligena sp. B MB. Its description in RNAcentral is "partial 16S ribosomal RNA". It matches the Rfam family "Bacterial large subunit ribosomal RNA", at positions 1935 to 2544 of the family's 2925-position model. The record is from RNAcentral. Lineage: Eukaryota; Metazoa; Annelida; Polychaeta; Terebellida; Acrocirridae.
GGUAUCCUGACCGUGCUAAGGUAGCAUAAUCAUUUGCCUCUUAAUUAGAGGCUUGUAUGAAUGGUUAAACGAAUUUUCACCUGUCUCCUUAAAAAAUAUAAAAAUUAAUUUUUUAGUGAAAAAGCUAAAAUAUAUAUAAAGGACAAAAAGACCCUGUAGAACUUUAUUUACGUAUAUUUAUAUAUUUUAUAUAUUAUUAAAAUAUAAAUAAACUACAAUUUGGUUGGGGUGACUUAGGAAUAUAAAAAACUUCCUAUAUAUAAUAGAAUUAUAAUUCUAAUCAAUGAACCAUAUUAUAUGUCAAUAAGAAUAGUUACCUCAGGGAUAACAGACUAAUUUUCCUUAAGAGAUCAUAUUGACAGGAAAGUUUGGCACCUCGAUGUUGGGCUUAGGAA